Molecule: long non-coding RNA, 1163 nt
Filed under: Eucalyptus grandis
Lineage: Eukaryota; Viridiplantae; Streptophyta; Magnoliopsida; Myrtales; Myrtaceae
Description: long non-coding RNA (EGRA_LNC004857)
Source: RNAcentral
AGGGCUCUCAUGACAAGAUCUUCGGUCCCCCCCAAUUCCCUCUAAACCCUAAAUGGCUUCUUGGAAUUUCGACAAGGCAUUAUCUUCUUCCUUCAUUUAUGUACUUUAGUUAUUGUCGUUCUGCUUGGUACAGCAGACCAGACACCGCUUUAUCUGCUCAUGGAUGAUGAUGGGUAACCUCGAAACUUGCGGGAUGUAUGGAAAAAAGUGGAUCUUGAGGAUGAUGCAAAAGCCAGAAGUGACGAAGUUAGUUCAUCUGCUCAUGCAGGUCAUGCGAAACGAAAUGAUGUUGAAGCUGCAAACAUAGAAUGCAGACAUUUCACAAAUUUAUUCUAGCGGAUUCCUCUAUGUACAAAGGCCCAUGAUUACCGCAGGAAACACACAGAGAGAGAGAGAGAGAGAGAGAGAGAGAGAGAGAGAGAGAGAGCAGUAGAGAAGCGAGUGACUGAGACUUUACAAAACCAUGCAUGCACAAAAGGAAAUUCGAAAUGGGAAAAUGGGUAAGGGGAACGAAAGAGCAUUGAGAAUGGAUAAGAAGAAGAUAUGAUGAUGAUGAUGAUGAUGAAGAUAAGUCAAUCCCAUGCGAGGCCAAGACCGCCUCUAUGGCGCCUGCGGACGCCGGAUAAGAAGCAGAGCAGGAACGCCAUGCCCAGCGACGACACGGCUGAGCUCACCACCUCGAGUGUCGCCGGGAGCCGCCGGUCCUGCAGCCCCCAUAUGGCCCUUGCCAGCGUCCCAAAGCCGUCCACGACCACCGCGAUCAUCACCGCCAUUCCCGCUUUCCCCGCUGAGCCCUUCCGUAGGAGAAGGAAGAAGAAGAAAGUGGGUGGUCUAGCUAGCUAUUCUUCUUGGGAGCAGAGUGUCGGGAGGGGCGAGCUUUCGUAGCCCCAGCUUCCAAGCAAAGCAAAGGCCUAACGAGUGAGAAGAAGACAGAAGGAGAUUGGAGUCUUGCACUGGUAGGAAGGGCCGUCGCUUCCACGUUGCUUCCUUCUCUCUCUCUCUCUUUCGACGACGAUGAUGAGUGGGGAGGAAGCUUUAUCCGAAACUUCGGCACAAAAACUUGUGAUGGGACCGGAAGGAAUGGAAUGAAAAAUUGAUUUUAAGUGUAUUAUUAUGGUACUGGUUUAUGACUUAUAUAUAUAUGAGGAUGAUUGCCCCAAUGU